Molecule: ribosomal RNA, 1506 nt
Filed under: Triticum aestivum (bread wheat)
Lineage: Eukaryota; Viridiplantae; Streptophyta; Magnoliopsida; Poales; Poaceae
Description: partial small subunit ribosomal RNA
Source: RNAcentral
AUGGGGAGAGGAGCAGUGGGCUCGUCAUGGGCCUCAUUUCGAAAUGAAUGGGCCGGAGCAGCACGAACCCCUGUUUGUGUCUGUUCCCCUUGGCCUUGGGAGAGAAUGUCGUCGGCGGCGCUCCGCCGCCACCUCCUCCGCCUUCCCGCCCGCCGCCGCCUUCUCUGCGCCUCCUCCUCCUCCUCCCCUCCCUUGGCGCCGACCCACGGCGGCCAUGGCCCCGCGGCGGCGGGGCCGGGGGUGGUGGAGCUGAACCCGCCGCGCGGCACCAGGGACUUCCCGCCGGAGGAGAUGCGCCUGCGCACCUGGCUCUUCGACCACUUCAGGGAGGUGUCCCGGCUGAUCGCGUUCGAGGAGGUGGACUUCCCGGUGCUCGAGUCGGAGGCGCUCUUCGUCCGCAAGGCCGGGGAGGAGAUCGCGGAGCAGCUCUACAGCUUCGCGGACAAGGGCGGCCGCCGCGUGGCCCUCCGGCCGGAGAUCACCCCGUCCCUCGCGCGCCUGGUCAUCCGGCGGGGGACCUCGGCGCCCCUCCCGCUCAAGUGGUUCACCAUCGGCCAGUGCUGGCGCUACGAGCGCAUGACCAGAGGGAGGCGCCGCGAGCACUACCAGUGGAACAUGGACGUCUUCGGCGUGCCUGGCGUUCGCGCCGAGGCCGAGCUUAUCCAGGCCAUUGUCCUCCUCUUCGAGCGUCUCGGGGUCGCGUCCUCCGACGUGGGGAUCCGGCUGUCCAGCCGGAAGGUUCUCCAGGUGGUGCUCGACAUGCACUCCGUGCCGCGGCACCUGUUCACCCAGGUCUGUGUGAUUGUUGACAAGCUGGGGAAGAUGAGCAGAGACGAGAUUGAGAGGGAAUUGAUCUCCACCGGGCUGCCAUCUGAAGCUGUGCAGGGCAUCAUUGAUGUGCUUUCUCUGAAGUCGCUGUCUGAGCUCGAACAGGUGCUGGGCUCUGGUGCUGCUGAGGCUGUUGCUGACCUGAAGAAGCUCUUCUCCUUCGCCGAGCACUAUGGUUACGCCGAUUGGAUCUGUUUCGACGCGUCGGUUGUUCGCGGCCUUGCGUACUACACGGGGAUCGUGUUCGAGGCUUUUGAUAGGCAAGGUGAGCUCAGGGCGAUCUGCGGUGGGGGGAGGUAUGAUAGGCUGCUUUCAACAUUUGGAAGUGAAGAUGUGCCAGCCUGUGGAUUUGGGUUUGGGGACGCUGUUAUCGUCAAACUGCUGAAGGAGAAGGGUCUUCUGCCUCAUCUGUCGCGCCAAAUAGACGACAUUGUCUUCCCGUUGGAUGGUGAGCUUCAGGGACCGGCAUCCUGUGUCACAUCCUCUCUGCGGAAGAAUGGCAGAUCUGUAGACCUUGUGCAAGACAAGCGUCUGAAAUGGGUGUUUAAACAUGCGGAGAGGGUAAAUGCUAGCAGGCUGGUUCUGGUUGGGAAAUCUGAGUGGGAGCGAGGCAUGGUUCGUGUGAAGAUUCUGUCUACCAGAGAAGAAUUUGAGGUCAAGGCAGGCGAAUUACAGUAA